GGAGUGAAGACAAAACGCUCUCGCAGUAAAUUCCUUGAGGCUUAUUAACCGCAAUGAUCCAUUCGUCUUCAAAUAUAACAUGACUUCUCGAAAGAGAAAAAAGAGCGGAUUUCGAAGAAGCCGUUAAAGCUCUAUUCGGCUCUAUGUCCUUAGAUAAGGUAGGCAAUGGCGGAGAUAAUGGUACUGGGUAAUCUGUGGUUGCCACCGAGGGAGAAUCGAAGUAGCUUUGGCUCGCCAUGAAGAUGAAUCGACGGUGCCGGGAAAUUCUGGUAGGAGACGCGAAGAAAUUUAUCGAAGGGAUUUGGAGGAGAGGGA
RNAcentral lists this unclassified non-coding RNA (315 nucleotides) under Hevea brasiliensis (rubber tree). Lineage: Eukaryota; Viridiplantae; Streptophyta; Magnoliopsida; Malpighiales; Euphorbiaceae. The record is from RNAcentral.